RNAcentral lists this transfer RNA (73 nucleotides) under Heterocephalus glaber (naked mole-rat). RNAcentral describes it as "tRNA-Lys (CTT) (tRNA-Lys-CTT-6-1)". It matches the Rfam family "tRNA". Rfam says of the family: Transfer RNA (tRNA) molecules are approximately 80 nucleotides in length. Their secondary structure includes four short double-helical elements and three loops (D, anti-codon, and T loops). The record is from Rfam by way of RNAcentral. Lineage: Eukaryota; Metazoa; Chordata; Mammalia; Rodentia; Bathyergidae.
GCCCAGCUAGCUCAGUCAGUAGAGCAUAAGACUCUUAAUCUCAGGGCCAUGGGUUCAAGCCCCAUAUUGGGUG